RNAcentral lists this ribosomal RNA (279 nucleotides) under uncultured bacterium. RNAcentral's name for it is "partial 16S ribosomal RNA". It matches the Rfam family "Bacterial small subunit ribosomal RNA", at positions 506 to 784 of the family's 1533-position model. The record is from RNAcentral.
UGCCAGCAGCCGCGGUAAUACGGAAGGUGCAAGCGUUGUUCGGAAUGACUGGGCGUAAAGAGCACGUAGGCGGGUUUGUGUGUCGGUUGUGAAAACCCCGGGCUUAACCUGGGACGUGCAGCCGAAACUGCAAAUCUUGAAUGCCUGAGAGGUUGGUGGAAUUCCAGGUGUAGGAGUGAAAUCCGUAGAUAUCUGGAGGAACACCGGAGGCGAAGGCGGCCAACUGGCAGUGCAUUGACGCUGAGGUGCGAAAGCGUGGGGAGCAAACAGGAUUAGAUA